Molecule: ribosomal RNA, 538 nt
Filed under: Metarhizium anisopliae
Lineage: Eukaryota; Fungi; Ascomycota; Sordariomycetes; Hypocreales; Clavicipitaceae
Description: partial large subunit ribosomal RNA
Rfam family: Eukaryotic large subunit ribosomal RNA
Source: RNAcentral
GAGGAAAAGGAACCAACAGGGAUUGCCCCAGUAACGGCGAGUGAAGCGGCAACAGCUCAAAUUUGAAAUCUGGCCCCCAGGGCCCGAGUUGUAAUUUGCAGAGGAUGCUUUUGGUGAGGUGCCUUCCGAGUUCCCUGGAACGGGACGCCAUAGAGGGUGAGAGCCCCGUCUGGUUGGAUACCGAGCCUCUGUAAAGCUCCUUCGACGAGUCGAGUAGUUUGGGAAUGCUGCUCUAAAUGGGAGGUAUAUGUCUUCUAAAGCUAAAUAUUGGCCAGAGACCGAUAGCGCACAAGUAGAGUGAUCGAAAGAUGAAAAGCACUUUGAAAAGAGGGUUAAAUAGUACGUGAAAUUGUUGAAAGGGAAGCACUUAUGACCAGACUUGGCCCCGGUGAAUCAUCCAGCGGUUCCCGUUGGUGCACUUUGCCGGGGUUCAGGCCAGCAUCAGUUCGCUCCGGGGGAUAAAGGCUUUGGGAAUGUGGCUCCCUCGGGAGUGUUAUAGCCCAUUGCGCAAUACCCUGUGGCGGGCUGAGGUUCGCGC